CGCAGACAUGAGGGCGAGGCUAAAACAGUAAGGUCAAGUUGUUUCGACAGAAAGCCUACAGGGUGCGGUCCUGGCUCUUGUGUAAGAAUUCUGACUGCACUAACCAUGCCUAGGAAGGAAAGGAGUUGUUGUUUUGUAAAGGAUUGAGGUUUGGAAGAUUAAUCGGACACGGUCAGCAGGGAGAGCACUUGUGUUUUUAUGAGAAUUAUGCCGAGAUAGGUAACAGAUGAGGAUGAAAUUUGGGCUUGACUGAAGUAAUGGGGGCUGUCUGUGAAGCCCUGUGGCAGUACAGCCCAGGUAAUUUGCUGAGCCUAAUGGGUGUCAGGGUCAGUCUAAGUGAAAGCAAAGAGAGGCUUGGAUGAAGGGUGCAAAGGAAUAGUAAAGAAAGCAUGUGUGAGACCCAGAACAAAAUAAUGGGUAGUAGAGUGAGGUAUUGAGGAUAGGAGAGUAUAUGGGUUUGGCACCACGGGGUGGAUAGGCAAAACAAUUUGGUUGAUAAGGCUAAGAUUCUGAACUAACUCGUAAGCCUUGUCCAGUUUUAGGACAGGUAAAAUAGGGGAAUGGUAAGGAGAGUUCAUAGGCUUUAAAAGGCCAUGCUGUAGCAGGCGAGUGAUAACAGGCUUUAAUCAUUUUAAAGAGUGCUGUGGGAUGGGAUCUUGGCAUUGAGCGGGGUAAGGGGGAUUAGGUUUUAAUGAGAUAGUAAGGGGUGCAUGAUCGGUCGCCAAGGAGGGAGGAGAGGUAUCUUAUACUUGUGGGUUAAGGUGGGGGGAUUCAAGAGGAGAAUACAAAGGAGGCUUUGGAUUGGGAAAAAGGGUGGCAAUGAGAUGCAGCUGUAGUCCAGGAAUAGUCAGGGAAGCAGAUACUUUAGUUAAAGUGUCUCAUCCUAAUAAGGGAACUGGGCAGGUGGGGAUAACUAAAAAGGAGUGCUUAAAAGAGUAUUGUCUAAGUUGGCACCAGAGUUGGGGAGUUUUAAGAGGUUUAGAAGCCUGGCCGUCAAUACCCACAACAGUUAUGGAGGCAAGGGAAACAGGCCCUUGAAAAGAAGGUAAUGUGGAGUGGGUAGCCUCCGUAUUGAUUAAGAAGGGGACGGACUUACCCUCCACUCUGAGAGUUACCCGAAGCUCGGCAUCUGUAAUUGUCUACAGGGCUUCCAAGGCGAUCGGGCAGCGUCAGUCUUCAGCCGCUAAGCUGAGAAGAUCUGGGAAGGAGUCAGAGAGCCUUGGGCCAGAGUUCCAGGGGCUUUGGAAGUGGCUACCAGCAGCCCCUGGAUCUCACCUCAACUUCUGCCCACAGCAGCCACAGCAUCACUACCUGAUCCUCUUCAGGAGGAGUGGUCUGUGUGAAGAGGAGAGUGACAGGAAAGGGGGACAAGUCUCCAGGGACUCAGGGACUACUUAGUAGAAAGUGUCCUUAUAGGUGGUUUCCUAGACUUACAUCUGACCUCCACCAUUGAUUUGGUCGCCAUCCACAGAAAAGGGCAAAGGGACAAAAUAGAAAUCGAAAUCCAGCGAGCGAAAUGUGAUGAUGAGGGCCUCAUCACCUUUGGCACACCGUACUGGCUCUGCUAUACUUGAUACUGUCCAUUUUCCAAUAUAAUUGGGGAAAAAAUAUGGUGAUCAGAUGCCCGUCACCCACACCAAUCUCCCUGCUGUGGGCUGAGUUGUGUCUCCCCAACAUUCACACAUUGAUCUAACCCCUGGGACCUCAGAAUGUGAAUGUAUUUGGAGAUAGAGUUCAGUCACCUUUAUAGAGGUGAUUGAGCUAAAAUGAAGUCAUUUGGGUGACCCCUAAUCCCAUAUGACUGGUUCCCUUAAAAGAAAAGGAGAUGAGGACACAGACACACACAGAGGGAAGACCACGUGAGGACACAGGGAGAUGACGGCUGUCUGCAAGACAUCGAUUUCCAGCCUCCAGCACUGUGAGAAAAUAGAUUUCUGUUGUUCACACCACUCAGUCUGUGGCACUUUGUUAGGGCAGUCCUGGCAAACUAAUACACUCCCCUUAAGUCAAACUUGGAUAUACCUAACAUUUGUAAAGAACGGUUACUUCAAAAAAAAAAAAAGCUUUUGUAACCAUUUUCUUUUGGAUCCUUCCAACAACUCUGCAAGAUAUCACAAUGGUUAUUUUGCAAAUGGAGGAACUGAGGCUUAAGAAAGUAAAGGAAUUUACUUCUUGUGCAGCAAUAAUGGGCAGAGCUGCGGGACUGGAGCUGCCCUUGCCCUCUGCUCUCCUAGCAAUUUUCUUUUAUGAGCAAACCUACACGGUGUAAACCUCCUGGGCAACUGUUCUUUUCUGCACACUUCACUAUAUGAACGUGGAACAUUUAUAGAGAUAGCCUGUAAGAGCUGAAUUCCUGCUGCCUCUAACUCCAGACACUUUCGCCUGAAUGUGUACUUCUCACUACUGAUAAACCCGUGACUCAGCUGGAAAUCCUCGUGGUGAAGGAACUGAACACAGAAAACACACAUUCGUAAAGACCAGGUGUGGAAGUCUCCAGCCCUGUUUGCACCGCAGCAGACAGGGACACCACAGCCACACGGUACUUGGAAACCCGAGCUUGAGAUGAUUGAUGGAAGUGUUAAAAUGCCAGAGCAUUUGGGGAAUGUGGUAUGGGCAGUCCCAGAAGAAAUGGCCCUGCUCAGAUGCCAUCCUGUGGGGUGCGGCUUAAUGGGGCCACUCACUCAUCUGGGAUGUGAAACUUUGAAGACAAAUACCUGUUUACUUCAUUCGCCCCAGAUUUUAUACAUGCUUUUUAAAAAACAACUUUAUUCAUGUAUAGCUAGGAUAAAAUGAACAGCACAUAUUUAAAGUGCCCAAUUUGAUGAAUUUUGAUAUUGGUGUACAUGUGUGAAACUGUCAUCACAAUCAAAAUAACAAACGCCUCCAUCAUUUCCAAGUUUCCCCAUGUCCUUUGUAAGCCCACCUUGCUCCCCCUUCCCCCACACAAGCCCAACCUCCCAUCCCUUCCCAGCAAUCAUUGAUACGUUUUCUGUCUCUAUGGCUUAGUUUGCAUUUUCUAGAAUUUUAUAUAAAUGAAAUCAUACAGUAUGUGUUAUUUUUGUCUGGCUUUUUUUUCCAUUUAGCAUAAUUACUUUGAAAUCUGCCCAUACUGUUGUCUGUAUCAAUAGUGUAUUCCUUUCAUCUCUGAGUGUCAUUCCAUUUUGUGGAAAUGCCAUAAUUUGCUUAUUCAUUUGCCUGUUGAGGGACAUUUGGAUUGUUUUCCAUUUUGGGCCAUUACCAUAAAGCUGCUAUGAACAUUUGUAUACGUGUGGACAGAUGCUUUUAUUUCUCUUGAGUAAAUACCUAGAAGUGGAAUGGCUGUAUAUUUAGCUUUGCAGAAACUGUCAGACUAUUUUCCAAAGUAGUUGUACUAUUUUACAUUGUUAGCAGCAGCGUAGAAGAGUUCCAGUUCCUCCACCCACUUGUCAACACAUGGUAUCGUCCAUUUCUAAAGUGUUACCACUACUAGGUGUGUGGUGGUAUCUCAAUGUGAUUUUCGUUUGCAUUUCUCUAAUGACUAAUGAUGUUGAGCAUCUUUUAAUGUGUUUAUUUUGCCUUUCAUUUAUCUUCUUUGGUGAGGAGAGUGUGUUCAAACCUUUGGCCCAUUUUUUUAAAGUUGGUUUAUUUGUCUUCUUGUAAUUGAGUCUUAAGAAUUCUUCACAUAUCCUAGAUCCAAGUUCUUUGUGAGAUAGAUGUUUUGCAUUUAAUUCAGUAAGAUAUAUAAACAAGAAAGGCUUAUUGUGAGUCCCUGAACCAUGCUAAGAGAUGAAAUAGGUACCAUUUGUUCAACAUUAAGUAUAAAUUAUACAUACAAAAGCUACAUAUAUCCCACAGAUGAAUUACUUUUCAUCUCUCCUUAAUGGCACUAGUGGCUCUUAGCCAGAUGGGCUGAAAGAAAGCUCCCUGUCCCUACCUUUCCAAGUAUUCUUUAUUUCUGGCCUCUUGUCCCUGGGGUCCUUUCCUAAUUCCACACCCCACUCUGAUCCACACCGGCAGAUGGACAACUUUGGAGGCAGUAAUUACCAACGUCUUUCAGGUGGAGUCUUCAUCAGCCACCCAUCCUGCACUGACUCAUGUCAAGGAGGGGCAGCUGCCUGGAACCCUGUUUUCUCCCCACUGCUAGAGGCUGGGGCUCUUUCUAGAUUCUCCUGACUUCAUGCAGAAAAUUACCAAUGUUUUGGUUGUGUUACCUCAGUGAUUUUUUUCCGCUGAUUAAAAAUUAACUCCCUCAUUGCUACCAAACCUCCCUUCCUCAGGGCACCAGCUGGGUGGUUGCUGCUUAAGGAUGAGCAGCGACUUCUGAGCAGCGCAGAAUCACCCCCUAGCUUACUUCUGUCCUGGAGACCCUCAGCUGGGAGCCCACAACGCUAGUCUGUGCUCAGGCUCCAGAGCUUUCCUCAGAAUUGAUUCUAGAACCCCAGAGGCAGGCCUGAGGGAGACGAGGAGGGAGAGUCCCUGGGCAACGUGCUUCCUGAAAGCACAUGUCAGAGUGAAAGCGUGUCCUUAUAAGUGGGAUUCUCACAGCAGUGGAGUGACUUUGCACAAGACACUUUACCUCUCUCAGCCUCCCUUUCUUCAUGAUAAUGAUAAUAAUCCUCACUACAAAUCUGUAUUUCAUCACAGGACAAUAGGAGAAAUCUGGCCAUCUCAUACACUAGGCCUCCCCAAGUCGCUGUCAUCUCUUUGCUGGGUUGUUGCAAUCACCUCCUCAAAGGCCCCACUCCCACAUCUGCAGUCUCUCUUCAUACUACAGCCAGGAGGCUCUUUAAAACCAGGAUUUUGUCACCAACUUGUCAAAAACCCUCAAAUGGUUUUCAGUCUGACUCAGAGUAAAAGCUAAGGUCGACACCAUGAACUGCAAAGCCCCGCAGGAUUAGAUGCUUGCAGCCUCUUACCUCUUAAGCUUUCCACCUCUCUCCUUCCCUUGGCCAUGGCCUCCCUCUGUGUGGUCUGGCCAUUCUGCUUCAUGAGGGCCCUUAGCACAGACUGCUCUCUCCACAGCGUCUCCCCUCACGUGUCCACCGGGCUCCCUCUCUUCCCCCAGCUUUCUGCUCAAGUGUGGCCUUCAUAGGGCUGCCUUCUUAUCCUCCCUUUCCCUACCUCUUUGCUUUAUAUUACUCAUGGCACUUGCCACUGCAUGAUGUAUUAUAUGUUUAUAAAUGUCCCUGGUGUCUGCCUCUCCCCAAUAAAGCACAAACACUGUAGCAG
RNAcentral lists this long non-coding RNA (5208 nucleotides) under Homo sapiens (human). RNAcentral's name for it is "HSALNT0023442". Lineage: Eukaryota; Metazoa; Chordata; Mammalia; Primates; Hominidae. The record is from RNAcentral.